ACGCUCGACACCUACGGGCAGCAGUGGGGAAUAUUGCACAAUGGGGGAAACCCUGAUGCAGCGACGCCGCGUGAGUGAAGAAGUAUUUCGGUAUGUAAAGCUCUAUCAGCAGGGAAGAAGAUGACGGUACCUGAGUAAGAAGCCCCGGCUAACUACGUGCCAGCAGCCGCGGUAAUCUGAGCGGGCUGGCAAGGC
This 195-nucleotide ribosomal RNA is filed under the name uncultured bacterium. RNAcentral describes it as "partial 16S ribosomal RNA". It matches the Rfam family "Bacterial small subunit ribosomal RNA", at positions 326 to 539 of the family's 1533-position model. The record is from RNAcentral.